UGCGGGAAUAGCUCAGUUGGUAGAGCACAACCUUGCCAAGGUUGGGGUCGCGAGUUCGAGCCUCGUUUCCCGCUCC
RNAcentral lists this transfer RNA (76 nucleotides) under Pasteurella multocida 36950. Its description in RNAcentral is "tRNA-Gly". It matches the Rfam family "tRNA". Rfam says of the family: Transfer RNA (tRNA) molecules are approximately 80 nucleotides in length. Their secondary structure includes four short double-helical elements and three loops (D, anti-codon, and T loops). The record is from RNAcentral. Lineage: Bacteria; Pseudomonadati; Pseudomonadota; Gammaproteobacteria; Pasteurellales; Pasteurellaceae.